Mauremys mutica (yellowpond turtle) is the source of this 798-nucleotide long non-coding RNA. RefSeq lists it as uncharacterized. The record is from RefSeq and is a predicted model, not a curated record. The transcript is spliced from 3 exons. NCBI's taxonomy places the organism in Eukaryota, Metazoa, Chordata, Testudines, Geoemydidae.
UGUCUUCUAAGAGGAAAAGUAGCACUGUCUCCUCCAACUCAGACUCUUUGGUCUGUUCUUAUGAAAACCGUGAAACAUACAGACUCCUGUUUGCUAAGUAUUCAGGAAAGCAGGAUUCUAAUUUCAUUAUCAUAAUGACCAACUAGAAAAGUGGUACAGCAAGGGGAAAAAAAAAAGUCCCACAUCACACACUAGCGUUUGAGGAAGUAACAAUUUUCCACUUAGCUUUGGCCCCAUUGAUCACAGCAAGAAACCCGCUAACCCCACUUCCCUCUUCAGUCCCAGAAUGACUCAGUGAAGUCAGGUUUUCUUUUAGGUGAAACAUGGAAAAAGUGGCUCAUGCCGGAAGGAGAACAGAAUAAAUGUUUGCAAGUUUUCACAGUUCUAGUGUGCAGACUGUCAAUCAUCUUCUACUAAGCAUAAGUAGAAAGAAAGAAGAUAGAAGUCAUCAAAGGAGAAACCUGAAAGCUAUUUUCCACGGAGCUUAUUAUGGAAUAGCAGCCAGGCCAUAUUUCAGUCUACAGUUUCUGUUAUAAACAAGCGUGAUUUUUGCUCCUCCCCCUCAAAUCUACAAACAAAUGAAUAUCAUCUUCAAAAUCAGUAGAUGGAGUUGAGGUGGAAUCUUCUAUCAAGUUUGUAAAGAACAGUAUAAGUUCAAAAAUUAUGGGAACACUGAGGUAUAGAGAGGAAAGGUGACUUGCUCAAGAUCAAGCAAAUUAAUAGCACAGCUGGAAGAGAACCUGGCAACCUGAUCUCUACUCUAACAAUACACACUCUGUUUCAAGCAUUGAGAUGGAA